This 253-nucleotide ribosomal RNA is filed under the name uncultured bacterium. Its description in RNAcentral is "partial 16S ribosomal RNA". It matches the Rfam family "Bacterial small subunit ribosomal RNA", at positions 524 to 776 of the family's 1533-position model. The record is from RNAcentral.
UACGGGGGGAGCAAGCGUUGUUCGGAUUUACUGGGUGUAAAGGGUUCGUAGGCGGUGUGGCAAGUUGGGAGUGAAAUCUCUGGGCUCAACCCAGAGGCUGCUUCCAAAACUGCUGUGCUCGAGUGUGGGAGAGGCGCGUGGAAUUGCAGGUGUAGCGGUGAAAUGCGUAGAUAUCUGCAGGAACACCGGUGGCGAAAGCGGCGCGCUGGACCACAACUGACGCUGAGGCACGAAAGCUAGGGGAGCAAACAGG